UAACUGGCGCGGCCUACACAUGGCAGUCGUAACAUGAUAACUCGGCUUGCUUAGCGGAUUAGUGGCGAACGGGUGAGUAACACGUGAGUAACCUGCCCUUGACUCUGGGAUAAGCGUUGGAAACGACGUCUAAUACCGGAUAUGACCUUCGGAGGCAUCUCCUGGGGGUGGAAAGAUUUUUUGGUCAAGGAUGGACUCGCGGCCUAUCAGGUUGUUGGUGAGGUAAUGGCUCACCAAGCCUACGACGGGUAGCCGGCCUGAGAGGGUGACCGGCCACACUGGGACUGAGACACGGCCCAGACUCCUACGGGAGGCAGCAGUGGGGAAUAUUGCACAAUGGGCGAAAGCCUGAUGCAGCAACGCCGCGUGAGGGAUGACGGCCUUCGGGUUGUAAACCUCUUUUAGUAAGGAAGAAGAACUUCGGUCUGACGGUACUUGCAGAAAAAGCACCGGCUAACUACGUGCCAGCAGCCGCGGUAAUACGUAGGGUGCAAGCGUUGUCAGGAAUUAUUGGGCGUAAAGAGCUCGUAGGCGGUUUGUCGCGUCUGCUGUGAAAACUGGAGGCUCAACCUCCAGCCUGCAGUGGGUACGGGCAGACUAGAGUGCGGUAGGGGAGAUUGGAAUUCCUGGUGUAGCGGUGGAAUGCGCAGAUGUCAGGAGGAACACCGAUGGCGAAGGCAGAUCUCUGGGCCGUAACUGACGCUGAGGAGCGAAAGCAUGGGGAGCGAACAGGAUUAUAUACCCUGGUAGUCCAUGCCGUAAACGUUGGGAGCUACAUGUAGGGGCCAUUCCACGAUUUCUGUGUCCAACUAACGCAUUAACUUCCCGCCUGGGAGUC
This 838-nucleotide ribosomal RNA is filed under the name uncultured bacterium. RNAcentral's name for it is "bacterial SSU rRNA". It matches the Rfam family "Bacterial small subunit ribosomal RNA", at positions 37 to 881 of the family's 1533-position model. The record is from RNAcentral.